RNAcentral lists this ribosomal RNA (468 nucleotides) under uncultured bacterium. RNAcentral describes it as "partial 16S ribosomal RNA". It matches the Rfam family "Bacterial small subunit ribosomal RNA", at positions 28 to 507 of the family's 1533-position model. The record is from RNAcentral.
GACGAACGCUGGCGGCGUGCUUAACACAUGCAAGUCGAACGGAAAGGCCCUGCUUUUGUGGGGUGCUCGAGUGGCGAACGGGUGAGUAACACGUGAGUAACCUGCCCUUGACUUUGGGAUAACUUCAGGAAACUGGGGCUAAUACCGGAUAGGAGCUCCUGCUGCAUGGUGGGGGUUGGACAGUUUCGGCGGUUGGGGAUGGACUCGCGGCUUAUCAGCUUGUUGGUGGGGUAGUGGCUUACCAAGGCUUUGACGGGUAGCCGGCCUGAGAGGGUGACCGGUCACAUUGGGACUGAGAUACGGCCCAGACUCCUACGGGAGGCAGCAGUGGGGAAUAUUGCACAAUGGGCGGAAGCCUGAUGCAGCAACGCCGCGUGCGGGAUGACGGCCUUCGGGUUGUAAACCGCUUUCGCCUGUGACGAAGCGUGAGUGACGGUAAUGGGUAAAGAAGCACCGGCUAACUACGUG